UACGAAUGGGGCUAGCGUUGCUCGGAAUCACUGGGCGUAAAGCGCACGUAGGCGGAUUGUUAAGUCAGGGGUGAAAUCCUGGAGCUCAACUCCAGAACUGCCUUUGAUACUGGCGAUCUCGAGUCCGGGAGAGGUGAGUGGAACUGCGAGUGUAGAGGUGAAAUUCGUAGAUAUUCGCAAGAACACCAGUGGCGAAGGCGGCUCACUGGCCCGGUACUGACGCUGAGGUGCGAAAGCGUGGGGAGCAAACAGG
RNAcentral lists this ribosomal RNA (253 nucleotides) under uncultured bacterium. RNAcentral describes it as "partial 16S ribosomal RNA". It matches the Rfam family "Bacterial small subunit ribosomal RNA", at positions 524 to 776 of the family's 1533-position model. The record is from RNAcentral.